GACGAACGCUGGCGGCGUGCCUAAUACAUGCCAGUAGAACGCUGAAGGAGGAGCUUGCUUCUCUGGAUGAGUUGCGAACGGGUGAGUAACGCGUAGGUAACCUGCCUGGUAGCGGGGGAUAACUAUUGGAAACGAUAGCUAAUACCGCAUAAUAGUAGAUGUUGCAUGACAUUUGCUUAAAAGGUGCAAUUGCAUCACUACCAGAUGGACCUGCGUUGUAUUAGCUAGUUGGUGAGGUAACGGCUCACCAAGGCGACGAUACAUAGCCGACCUGAGAGGGUGAUCGGCCACCCUGGGACUGGGACACGGCCCAGACUCCUACGGGAGGGAGCAGUAGGGAAUCUUCGGCAAUGGACGGAAGUCUGACCGAGCAACGCCGCGUGAGUGAAGAAGGUUUUCGGAUCGUAAAGCUCUGUUGUAAGGGAAGAACGAGUGUGAGAGUGGAAAGUUCACACUGUGACGGUAUCUUACCAGAAAGGGACGGCUAACUACGUG
This 495-nucleotide ribosomal RNA is filed under the name uncultured bacterium. RNAcentral describes it as "partial 16S ribosomal RNA". It matches the Rfam family "Bacterial small subunit ribosomal RNA", at positions 28 to 507 of the family's 1533-position model. The record is from RNAcentral.